CCAAAGGCAAGGAAGAGAAGAGUAAGCUGGGAGAUACGUCACAGAGAGCCCGGAUUGGUGGAAACGGGUACGGAAGGCCUGGCCGAACAUGGUCUCGGAGCCGCGCACCGAGUGUAUCUGCAUUAGGCUGCGACGGGAGCGCCCGUAACAGCGCAGGAGUAUCGGAGUUUCUCCCGUACUUCAUAAGGCCCGUAUCCGUGAGGAGCGGGUGAAGCAAGGUGGUACCACGAAGCCAAAGGCUCUCGUCCUUGAU
RNAcentral lists this non-coding RNA (253 nucleotides) under Pseudoflavonifractor capillosus. Its description in RNAcentral is "Bacteroides capillosus T-box sequence". It matches the Rfam family "T-box leader". Rfam says of the family: Uncharged tRNA acts as the effector for transcription antitermination of genes in the T-box leader family. T-boxes are found upstream of many aminoacyl-tRNA synthetase genes and some amino acid biosynthetic genes usually in Gram-positive bacteria. The record is from RNAcentral. Lineage: Bacteria; Bacillati; Bacillota; Clostridia; Eubacteriales; Oscillospiraceae.